Thalassophryne amazonica is the source of this 169-nucleotide long non-coding RNA. RefSeq lists it as uncharacterized. Lineage: Eukaryota; Metazoa; Chordata; Actinopteri; Batrachoidiformes; Batrachoididae. The record is from RefSeq and is a predicted model, not a curated record. The transcript has 3 exons.
CGCAUCCAUUUUUUCAAUUAAAAUGUACCUGCUGUGUACAGCAUGGCAGAGCGUUGCAGUGAUAUGACCUUUUUUAAUCAUCAUUCCCUUGAGUCUCAUGAAUGUCACAAAUUGCUCUAUGAAAAUUAAUGAUAUGACAACAUACACACAAUGCAAUUAAUGAAAAGCU